AAGGCAGUGGGGUGCUCCCCAAGUGUGGAAGCAGCAUCCCUUGGAAAUGCUGCUGACAUUCUGGAGUGCGUUGGGAGAAGGAAGAGAAAAAAAAAUGGAGAACAGCACUUAUUUGAUAUCUGUUACGUGCCAGGAAGCAAAUUACAGCUUUAUCUUGUGUGACCUUCAUGCCUGUCCUUCAAGGAGGAAGAUCAUUUCACAGUUGCAAGGGAGGAAGCGGAGAUGUUAGGUGGCUCACCCAGUAACCCGCACGUGAGCAGCAGACAAAAGGGUGGUUCUGAGAAGCUUCAUGUCCACACAGCCUGCCCGGAGACAGUGCACAGGACCAACCAACCAAUCUGCCUUUCUGGCGAGGCUGAGACAAGUGAGUAAUAACACCCAUUUGUUGAUUUUCCUUCCUUCUCUGUUCAAUCAAUCAGCCCUCCUUCUAGCUGCUCAGAGAUUUUCACACACACAUACAUGUGUA
Sus scrofa (pig) is the source of this 466-nucleotide non-coding RNA. The record is from RefSeq and is a predicted model, not a curated record. NCBI's taxonomy places the organism in Eukaryota, Metazoa, Chordata, Mammalia, Artiodactyla, Suidae.